This 253-nucleotide ribosomal RNA is filed under the name uncultured bacterium. RNAcentral describes it as "partial 16S ribosomal RNA". It matches the Rfam family "Bacterial small subunit ribosomal RNA", at positions 524 to 776 of the family's 1533-position model. The record is from RNAcentral.
UACAGAGGGUGCAAGCGUUAAUCGGAAUUACUGGGCGUCAAGCGUGCGUAGACGGUUGCGUAAGUCAGAUGUGAAAGCCCCGGGCUCAACCUGGGAAUUGCAUUUGAGACUGCGUAGCUAGGGUGCGGAAGAGGGAAGCGGAAUUUCCGGUGUAGCGGUGAAAUGCGUAGAUAUCGGAAGGAACACCAGUGGCGAAAGCGGCUUCCUGGUCCAGCACCGACGUUCAGGCACGAAAGCGUGGGGAGCAAACAGG